Molecule: transfer RNA, 70 nt
Filed under: Anguilla anguilla (European eel)
Lineage: Eukaryota; Metazoa; Chordata; Actinopteri; Anguilliformes; Anguillidae
Description: tRNA-OTHER
Source: RNAcentral
GGCAUGGUGGUGCAGUGGGUAGCACUGUGUUCUCACAACUAGGUCCUUGGUUCGAAUCCAGCCUGGGCCU